RNAcentral lists this ribosomal RNA (253 nucleotides) under uncultured bacterium. RNAcentral's name for it is "partial 16S ribosomal RNA". It matches the Rfam family "Bacterial small subunit ribosomal RNA", at positions 524 to 776 of the family's 1533-position model. The record is from RNAcentral.
UACGUAGGUGGCAAGCGUUGUCCGGAUUUAUUGGGUUUAAAGGGUGCGUAGGCGGCCCUGUAAGUCAGUGCUGAAAUAUCCCGGCUUAACCGGGAGGGUGGCAUUGAUACUGCGGGGCUAGAGUACAGAUGAGGUAGGCGGAAUUGACGGUGUAGCGGUGAAAUGCGCAGAUAUCAGGAGGAACACCGGUGGCGAAGGCGGGUCUCUGGGCCGAAACUGACGCUGAGGAGCGAAAGCGUGGGUAGCGAACAGG